Molecule: ribosomal RNA, 422 nt
Filed under: Diderma simplex var. applanatum
Lineage: Eukaryota; Evosea; Eumycetozoa; Physariida; Didymiaceae
Description: SSU rRNA
Rfam family: Eukaryotic small subunit ribosomal RNA
Source: RNAcentral
ACACGUAUGAAAGACAAGCUGAAAGACUUUUCUCAAUGAUGUAAGUGGUGGUGCAUGGUCGUUCGUAGUUCGUGGAUUGAUUUGUCUGGUCUAUUCCGAUAACGAGCGAGACCCCGGCGUUCCUAAUAGGGGCGACAGCCCGGCUUGCUUCGGCUUGCUAGCAGUCGCUUAAGAUUUACUUCUUAGACGUAUCAGAGCCGAUAAGGUUCUUGAAAUGGGUUAAUAACAGGUCAGUCAUGCCCUUAGAUGUUCUGGGCCGCACGCGCGUUACAAUGGCAUGUAUAGAAAGUGCCUCAAAGGGCGUAUCCGGGGCCUAACGGUCCCGGUAACCCCUAAUCCCUGCCUUGACUGGGAUAGACUAUUGCAAUUAUUGGUCUUCAACGAGGAAUUUUUAGUAGUCGCAGGUCAUUAACCUGCGACGA